Molecule: long non-coding RNA, 279 nt
Filed under: Nicotiana benthamiana
Lineage: Eukaryota; Viridiplantae; Streptophyta; Magnoliopsida; Solanales; Solanaceae
Description: long non-coding RNA (NBEN_LNC012690)
Source: RNAcentral
UAAGUUUAAGAAUUUGAUAAUAAAAGGAGUAAAAAGUUUAAAAGUAUAUUUUUGAACAAUUUAAAGAAGAGUAACAAGUAAAAGGGAAAGGGGGUCCUAGGUUUGCAAAUAAUAUGGAUCACAUCAAUGCAAUACCCGGUGUACACUCCUCAAAAGAGGGGUCGCACGUGAUAUUAGCGCAUCGGUCAUCAUAUCCAUAUUCUACCCUUCUCACCCCGUUUUGGCAUUAAAGCGCGGAAAGUCUCGUUACUUAUUGCAUGCUAGUACCCGUGUAAAUCC